RNAcentral lists this ribosomal RNA (465 nucleotides) under uncultured bacterium. Its description in RNAcentral is "partial 16S ribosomal RNA". It matches the Rfam family "Bacterial small subunit ribosomal RNA", at positions 330 to 792 of the family's 1533-position model. The record is from RNAcentral.
ACCAGACUCCUACGGGAGGCAGCAGUGAGGAAUAUUGGUCAAUGGGCGGGAGCCUGAACCAGCCAAGCCGCGUGAAGGAAGAAGGCGCCAGGCGUCGUAAACUUCUUUUGUCGGGGAACAAAGGGCGCCACGCGUGGCGUUGUGAGUGUACCCGAAGAAAAAGCAUCGGCUAACUACGUGCCAGCAGCCGCGGUAAUACGUAGGUGGCAAGCGUUGUCCGGAUUUACUGGGUGUAAAGGGCGUGCAGCCGGAGAGACAAGUCAGAUGUGAAAUCCACGGGCUCAACCCGUGAACUGCAUUUGAAACUGUUUCCCUUGAGUGUCGGAGAGGUAAGCGGAAUUCCUUGUGUAGCGGUGAAAUGCGUAGAUAUAAGGAAGAACACCAGUGGCGAAGGCGGAUUACUGGACGAUAACUGACGGUGAGGCGCGAAAGCGUGGGGAGCAAACAGGAUUAGAUACCCCGGUA